AGGGCACCACCAGGAGUGGAGCCUGCGGCUUAAUUUGACUCAACACGGGAAAACUCACCCGGCCCGGACACUGGAAGGAUUGACAGAUUGAGAGCUCUUUCUUGAUUCAGUGGGUGGUGGUGCAUGGCCGUUCUUAGUUGGUGGAGUGAUUUGUCUGGUUAAUUCCGAUAACGAACGAGGCUCUAGCCUAUUAAAUAGAUCGUUGGCUUACAAACGCCGGCGAGACUUCUUAGAGGGACAGGCGGCGAUUCAGCCGCACGAAACAGAGCAAUAACAGGUCUGUGAUGCCCUUAGAUGUCCGGGGCCGCACGCGCGCUACACUGAAGUGAUCAGCGUGCAUUUUGAAACCUACUCUGUCAAGAGUGGGGAACCCAAUGAACCUUCUUCGUGAUUGGGAUAGGGGAUUGUAAUUAUUCCCCUUGAACGAGGAAUUCCCAGUAAGCGCGAAUCAUAAGUUUGCGCUGAUUACGUCCCUGCCCUUUGUACACACCGCCCGUCGCUACUACCGAUUGAAUGUUU
This 519-nucleotide ribosomal RNA is filed under the name uncultured eukaryote. Its description in RNAcentral is "SSU rRNA". It matches the Rfam family "Eukaryotic small subunit ribosomal RNA", at positions 1161 to 1698 of the family's 1831-position model. The record is from RNAcentral.